UUGGAGGGCAAGUCUGGUGCCAGCAGCCGCGGUAAUUCCAGCUCCAAUAGCGUAUAUUAAAGUUGUUGCAGUUAAAAAGCUCGUAGUUGAAUUUCGGGAUCAAUUUAUUGGUCGUGCUAUUGUACGUACUGGUAUUAUUGAUUCCUACCUUCUGACGAACCAUGAUGUCAUUAAUUUGGUGUCUUGGGGAAUCAGGACUGUUACUUUGAAAAAAUUAGAGUGUUUAAAGCAGGCUCACGCUUGAAUACAUUAGCAUGGAAUAACGAAAUAGGACGUUUGAUUCUAUUUUGUUGGUUUCUAGGAUCGACGUAAUGAUUAAUAGGGAUAGUUGGGGGCAUUAGUAUUCAAUUGUCAGAGGUGAAAUUCUUGGAUUUAUUGAAGACUAACUACUGCGAAAGCAUUUGCCAAGGAUGUUUUCAUUAAUCAAGAACGAAAGUUAGGGGAUCGAAGACGAUCAGAUACCGUCGUAGUCUUAACCAUAAACUAUGCCGACUAGGGAUCGGAUGAUGUUAAUUUUUUAAUGACUCAUUCGGCGCCUUACAGGAAAC
RNAcentral lists this ribosomal RNA (548 nucleotides) under uncultured Glomeromycotina. Its description in RNAcentral is "SSU rRNA". It matches the Rfam family "Eukaryotic small subunit ribosomal RNA", at positions 548 to 1098 of the family's 1831-position model. The record is from RNAcentral. Lineage: Eukaryota; Fungi; Glomeromycota.